GACGAACGCUGGCGGCGUGCCUAAUACAUGCAAGUCGAGCGGACAGACGGGAGCUUGCUCCCUGAUGUUAGCGGCGGACGGGUGAGUAACACGUGGGUAACCUGCCUGUAAGACUGGGAUAACUCCGGGAAACCGGGGCUAAUACCGGAUGGUUGUCUGAACCGCAUGGUUCAGACAUAAAAGGUGGCUUCGGCUACCACUUACAGAUGGACCCGCGGCGCAUUAGCUAGUUGGUGAGGUAACGGCUCACCAAGGCAACGAUGCGUAGCCGACCUGAGAGGGUGAUCGGCCACACUGGGACUGAGACACGGCCCAGACUCCUACGGGAGGCAGCAGGAGGGAAUCUUCCGCAAUGGACGAAAGUCUGACGGAGCAACGCCGCGUGAGUGAUGAAGGUUGUCGGAACGUAAAGCUCUGUUGUUAGGGAAGAACAAGUGCCGUUCAAAUAGGGCGGCACCUUGACGGUACCUAACCAGAAAGCCACGGCUAACUACGUG
Molecule: ribosomal RNA, 497 nt
Filed under: uncultured bacterium
Lineage: Bacteria
Description: partial 16S ribosomal RNA
Rfam family: Bacterial small subunit ribosomal RNA
Source: RNAcentral